GAUGAACGCUGGCGGCGUGCCUAAUACAUGCAAGUCGAGCGAACAGACCAGGAGCUUGCUCCUCUGACGUUAGCGGCGGACGGGUGAGUAACACGUGGAUACCCUACCUAUUAGACGGGGAAAAUCUCGGGAAACCGGAUCUAAUACCGGAUAAUAUAUUGAACCGCAGGGUACACUAGUGAAAGACGGUUUUGCUGUAACUUAUAGAUGGCUCCGCGCCGCAUUAGCUAGUAGGUAAGUUAACGGCUUACCAAGGCAACGAUGCGUAGCCGACCUGAGAGGGUGAUCGGCCACACUGGAACUGAGACACGGUCCAGACUCCUACGGGAGGCAGCAGUAGGGAAUCUUCCGCAAUGGGCGAAAGCCUGACGGAGCAACGCCGCGUGAGUGACGAAGGUCUUCGGAUCGUAAAACUCUGUUAUUAGGGAAGAACAAAUGUGUAAGUAACUAUGCACGUCUUGACGGUACCUAGUCAGAAAGCCACGGCUAACUACGUG
Molecule: ribosomal RNA, 497 nt
Filed under: uncultured bacterium
Lineage: Bacteria
Description: partial 16S ribosomal RNA
Rfam family: Bacterial small subunit ribosomal RNA
Source: RNAcentral